UACGAAGGGGGCUAGCGUUGCUCGGAAUCACUGGGCGUAAAGCGCACGUAGGCGGCUUCUUAAGUCAGGGGUGAAAUCCUGGAGCUCAACUCCAGAACUGCCUUUGAUACUGAGGAGCUCGAGUCCGGGAGAGGUGAGUGGAACUGCGAGUGUAGAGGUGAAAUUCGUAGAUAUUCGCAAGAACACCAGUGGCGAAGGCGGCUCACUGGCCCGGUACUGACGCUGAGGUGCGAAAGCGUGGGGAGCAAACGGG
RNAcentral lists this ribosomal RNA (253 nucleotides) under uncultured bacterium. Its description in RNAcentral is "partial 16S ribosomal RNA". It matches the Rfam family "Bacterial small subunit ribosomal RNA", at positions 524 to 776 of the family's 1533-position model. The record is from RNAcentral.